This 429-nucleotide unclassified non-coding RNA is filed under the name soil metagenome. RNAcentral describes it as "partial contains 5.8S ribosomal RNA, internal transcribed spacer 2, and large subunit ribosomal RNA". The stretch from base 1 to 120 matches the Rfam family "5.8S ribosomal RNA", at positions 35 to 154 of the family's 154-position model. The record is from RNAcentral.
GAUGAAGAACGUAGUGAAAUGCGAUACGUAAUGUGAAUUGCAGAAUUCAGUGAAUCAUCGAAUCUUUGAACGCAUAUUGCGCUCUCUGGUAUUCCGGAGAGCAUGCUUGUUUGAGUAUCAGUAAACACCUCAACUCCCUUUUCUUUUUUGAAAUUGGAGCUGGACUUGAGUGAUCCCAACGCUUUCUUCCAAGAAAGUGGCGGGUUGCUUGAAAUGCAGGUGCAGCUGAACUUUUCUCUGAGCUAUAAGCAUAUCUAUUUAGUCUGCCUAAAAAACAGAUUAUUACCUUUGCUGCAGCUAACAUAAAGGAGACUAGUUCUUGUGCUGACUGAUGCAGGAUUCACAGAGACAGCUUCGGCUGACUUUGUAAACUCGAUCUCAAAUCAAGUAAGACUACCCGCUGAACUUAAGCAUAUCAAUAAGCGGAGG